This 349-nucleotide ribosomal RNA is filed under the name uncultured bacterium. RNAcentral describes it as "bacterial SSU rRNA". It matches the Rfam family "Bacterial small subunit ribosomal RNA", at positions 976 to 1325 of the family's 1533-position model. The record is from RNAcentral.
UGGGCUUGAACUGUUAAUGAUCGUGCCAGAGAUGGCAUUUUCCUUCGGGACAUUAUCAGAGGUGCUGCAUGGCUGUCGUCAGCUCGUGUCGUGAGAUGUUCGGUUAAGUCCGGCAACGAGCGCAACCCUUAUCUUUAGUUGCCAGCACGUUAUGGUGGGAACUCUAAAGAGACUGCCCGGGCUAACCGGGAGGAAGGUGGGGAUGACGUCAAGUCCUCAUGGCCCUUACGUCCAGGGCUACACACGUGCUACAAUGGUAGGUACAGCGAGAAGCGAAGCGGCGACGUGAAGCAGAUCUCAAAAAACCUAUCUCAGUUCGGAUUGCAGGCUGCAACUCGCCUGCAUGAAG